RNAcentral lists this unclassified non-coding RNA (327 nucleotides) under plant metagenome. RNAcentral describes it as "partial contains 5.8S ribosomal RNA, internal transcribed spacer 2, and large subunit ribosomal RNA". The stretch from base 1 to 105 matches the Rfam family "5.8S ribosomal RNA", at positions 50 to 154 of the family's 154-position model. The record is from RNAcentral.
GAAAUGCGAUACGUAGUGUGAAUUGCAGAAUUCAGUGAAUCAUCGAAUCUUUGAACGCACAUUGCGCCCUUUGGUAUUCCAAAGGGCAUGCCUGUUCGAGCGUCAUUUGUACCCUCAAGCUUUGCUUGGUGUUGGGCGUCUUUUUGUCUCUCCCCUUGUUGGGGGAGACUCGCCUUAAAACGAUUGGCAGCCGACCUACUGGUUUUCGGAGCGCAGCACAAAUUUGCGCCUUCCAAUCCACGGGGCGGCAUCCAGCAAGCCUUUGUUUUCUAUAACAAAUCCACAUUUUGACCUCGGAUCAGGUAAGGAUACCCGCUGAACUUAAGC